This 476-nucleotide ribosomal RNA is filed under the name uncultured soil bacterium. Its description in RNAcentral is "bacterial SSU rRNA". It matches the Rfam family "Bacterial small subunit ribosomal RNA", at positions 26 to 501 of the family's 1533-position model. The record is from RNAcentral.
AGGAUGAACGCUGGCGGCGUGCCUAAUACAUGCAAGUCGAGCGGUAAGGUUCUCACUCUGUACUCAAUGAAUUUGAGUGUGGUGUGAGAAUACACGAGCGGCGGACGGCUGAGUAACACGUAGGAACGUACCCCAAACUGAAGGAUAAGCACCAGAAAUGGUGUCUAAUACCGCAUGUGGUCUUCGGAUUAAAGCUUCGGCGGUUUGGGAACGGCCUGCGCAUGAUUAGCUUGUUGGUGAGGUAAUAGCUCACCAAGGCGACGAUCAUUAGCUGGUCUGAGAGGAUGAUCAGCCAGACUGGGACUGAGAACGGCCCAGACUCUACGGGAGCAGCAGUAGGAAUUUCCACAAUGGCGAAGCCUGAUGGAGCAACGCCGCGUGCGAGGAUGAAGGUCGUUUCGGUACGUUAAACUGUCUUUUAUGUGUGAAGUAUUAGUAGUACGGUAGCACAAGUAGAAAGUAAGGAUCGGACUAAC